UGAGCUAAACAGAUAUCGCCCACCCGCAGCAAUACACCCGAAGGGCCCUGCAUACUUAUUACUACUAGGUGACAUCUUUUCAGGAAAAUUCUCUUGCUUUCUGCCCUGUUCAUAAUCACUUCUGAUUCUGGAAAGUACAUUUAACAGAAGAACCAGUUGGGAUUUUGGGGAGAAAUUUUGGGAGCAUAAAGGGAAUAUACUCCCUUUUCUGAUCGGUAAAGAUCUUGUACGUCUGAAUAACUAUGACCCACAGAUUGUCCCUACUGAUAAACUCAACCAUACACCACAUGGAAACCAGAAAAGACUUUCCCGCCAUCUUUUAGGGCCUCAGUUCUACUCUACAAAACCAACAUAGCACGAUGAUUUGUAUUUGUCCUUUGAUACAUUUUAUCUCAACUGAUAGAAUUGUACAAAAAAAAGGGGGAAAAAAAAAAAACCUAUUUCCGUGAAGAAAUGCAUGUAUAGUGAGUAUGAAUCGUUUUCCAGGGCUAUCUCAUUGGAUACCAACUGAAAUAGGGAAAUCUAUCUCUUCGACAGUGUGCGAAUGUGUAAUGGUGGGACAAGCACUGAAGAUGGGGUUGGAGCACCCUUUCAAGAAACACCUGUCACCUCCGUGUGAACUUUGGCGUACCGUGAAUUCUUCAAUUUAGGGACGUCCCUUACUGUUUUCCCCUGCCCUUUGACCUUGGCUCUGCUGAAUCCGUCAGUGCUGGAUGCACCUGCACAGAUGACACAAGACAGUCUCCUGCGGAAUGAUGGCCUGGGAACAAGUCUCGAAAUCACAGAGCUGAUUGUAGGUUAUUGGACUUUUUUUCAAUGUGGAAUUUGCUAUUAACGAAACCAAGGAAACAAACAUUAUUCAGUAAAAAAGAAAGAAAAAUGGCUUUAUCUUCAAUCAUGGAAAAUGCCAAUUUUUAAGGGAAUGCAGUUAUAUGAACAAGGAUCACAGCAUCAAUAGGUAAUAGGGAACGGAGCAGGCCACUAGCCUUGGGUUCAAACUUGUGUGCCGCUAUGAAAGUCAGUUCGUUUUAAAAUUAUUAACAGUUCAUUUUUCUACCAGCCCUCAAAAACUAGACUGCAGGUAAACUUUAUAGCAUUUUUUAAAGAAAAUAUAUCAUGGCUUUAAAAAAGAAUCUGGAUUCUCAGGUCAGCAGUAAAGAAAUUACAUCUGAAGUGAGACCCAUGUGGAGGUCACUAGCAAUUCUCCUAGAUGUUUUUCCUAAAA
Molecule: long non-coding RNA, 1225 nt
Organism: Equus caballus (horse)
Lineage: Eukaryota; Metazoa; Chordata; Mammalia; Perissodactyla; Equidae
Source: RefSeq, a predicted model, not a curated record